GAAAUCCCAAACCCAACAAUAAAUGAAUACGUUAAAAUGUAUGUUAAUAAUACGACGUUUGUGUGUGGAUCAAAGGCAUUCGGAAGAACGCACUUGCCCCCUUGGCUUUUCGAAAAUAUAUCAAAUACGUUAUGUACAAAUUGAUAAUGAAACUAAAAUUGUGUAAUUAUUAUAAUUAAUUUUCCACCCCUUAAAUACAAAAUUCUGUGGACUUGCUUUCCUCCCCUAGACAAAAUUCUGCGGAUGUCUGUGUCAUAUUUUGACUUUGUUAGACACGUGCCAAUAAUAAGAUGUUUGUUUGGUUGUUUUCGUGUCGAUAUCAUUACAUCGAACGGCACAAAGCAAAAUUUCGAGUCCUAAACGCGUGAAAAUUAUUAUAGUAAGUUUAAUACGAGAAGAGGGAACGCGGCGCAACGUUCAGGCAAUUUCGAUACACCACGGUGUUGUUUGAAAUUUUAGACUUAAUAUU
Non-coding RNA from Cinara cedri, 469 nucleotides. The record is from the annotation of a GenBank genome assembly. Lineage: Eukaryota; Metazoa; Arthropoda; Insecta; Hemiptera; Aphididae.